CCUCCAUCCAGGCCAAUGAAUUCAGAACCCAUCUUGGACCUGGCAGUUUUCAAAGCCUCAGUUGAUAACACUGCGGCUGAACAGAGAUUCUGUUCUGAUCCUACGACUUGCCCUCUUCUGGAAUAGGUCCACGAAAUUGCAAAGCUGUCUUCAAGAGGCCAAAUGUGCCCCAAGACUAUCUUUGGUGUUUGACUGAAUGAAACCAAACAGCCACUUGCAGAAAAAAAGAAAGAAAACACCAGCCAGGAGCCCUGUCUUCCCAGCCUUCCGAUUCGCUGUGGCUGUGAAGCUUGGGCCUAGCUACCACUCCAUAAAAACUUCACGUCCGUCAACCGCAGGCAGCUAGGCAGAGAGCAAAGCUGGCGUCCGGCAGAUGGUCUGCCUUUGGAUGGGAAUUCUGCCUCCUCGUUCACAGGAAAUGAAAGCCGACAUGGCAUUCAAUACUGGAUUGUUAGGUAAUGGUGUGAGGUCAGAGGCCAGGAUCUGCUCAUUAAAAUUUCAGAUAGA
Long non-coding RNA from Rattus norvegicus (Norway rat), 507 nucleotides. RefSeq lists it as uncharacterized. The record is from RefSeq and is a predicted model, not a curated record. Lineage: Eukaryota; Metazoa; Chordata; Mammalia; Rodentia; Muridae.